CUGCGCCUUACUCGCUCUGUCCUCUGGACCCCUGUACCAGUGGUUGAAAACUUCUCACCUUUGUCUCUUACGGCUCAUUUGUGGCUGUGAGUCCUAUGUGUCCGCCCUGUUUUACAGAUGGAUAAACUGAGGCUGGAAGAGCCCUCUUUUACUCACAUCCUGUCCCUGAGAGGAGUCUGUUUCUCGGCGCCACCUGUCUGGAAAGGGGUACAUCUUGACCCUCUCCAUCACCCUGGCACGAUCCAGUCUGUGCCCCCUCCAGCCCACAGUGGGUGCUGCACACAUUGGCUUGUUGUUGACAGGGAACGAAGAUUAACUUCACAGAAGACCAUGCCGCUGGAUCUACACGAAGCCCAGCCACUACCCCUCAGGCCCUCUGUCCCUCCGAGACCCAAGGGCUGCUUCCUGGGCCAGGGCCAGGGCAUUCCAGGCCUCUCGCCCUGCCCAGCAGCCCAGCUGGCCUCGCAGCCCUCCCAGAAUCGCCUCGGCAGCUGUGGGGUGGCCGGAUGCCCCCUCCCCCCACGUCUCUGGGCCCCAAGCCCGGCCACAGGCUGAGCCUCGGCUGGCACUGCUCCUCAGCUUGGCUUGGGCAGGAACACCACAGGGAUUUUAAAAAUAAAGGGCCUUGAGACAGUGGCCUGGAUUAGGCAGCCAGGAGUGGGGUGGGGGCCAGGCAGGGUCAGUGAGGGGAAAGCUAAGGCUUGGGGGCCAGGCCAGAAAGGCCACAUUCUAUUUUCCAGCAGUCCUGCUGUCCCACAGGGUCUGCUGUCCUCCCCACCCAGCUUCUGGCCAGAGAACAUUAACUAAACACCUACUAUGUGCUGGGCCACUGGCUCCUGCCCUCAGUGCCUUCUCUUUUCUGUUCCCUUCCCCCACCCAGGCCAUUCUAGUCUUUCGCUCCCUCCUCCAACCCCGCUAACAGGAAACACAUCCAGAAAGGUCAAGAGUCCUGGGCCUCCAGAGUCCAGCGUCUGUACAGCACGGGCUGUCUGCGCGGGAGGGGGGGGGCUUCCUGUUUAUGAGAAGCACAAGGACCCCAGGGCGGUGCCUCAGACAGACAGGCCGGGGGUAGCCCCUGCAGCCCAGCUCCUGGAGAGGCCUCCACGCGCCCAGCCACGCCCUCUCACAUGGGGUUGGCGGGGCGGAAUCGGAGACUCUGGAUCUGGAAGGCCAGGCCCGUGGGAGCCCAGUGCCUGAGUGUCUGCAGAAAGGAUCCGGCUCCAGGGUCCCGGCUGGAGCUCCGCCCCGUGUAGGGGAGGCGCUGAGCCCAGAUCCUCUCCCCAGCUGUGGCCAGGCUGCCUCUCUCUCCAUCCUGUCCCCUUGGCUUCCCCCUGGGACCAGCAGGGGACCUCGGGCCAAGCGGUACCCCCCCCCCCAGAGGAAUCCUUUUUCGGGCCCCAGGUUCCAGCAAUGGCAGAACAGGGGUACAGCUGGUCAAAGUGUCCCUGGAGAAGCAAAUAACCCUGCCCACCCCUCCAGGCGCCCUGCCAAUCUGUCCUGUGGUUGCCCAACUGGUACUGACCGUAGGCCUCAGGGUCACAACCCGCAGGAGAAGGCGGGACGGAGGGACACUGGCCAGGUCUCCCCUCAUUUUGCUGCACAGGUGGGUGACUUCCAUCACGAGCCCUCCCAGUCCCAAGUACCUGGAGACAGACCUGAGGGUGAGCGCAAGGCUGUAGGUGCUGCCGGCAGUCCUGGGGUACCUGGGAGGCAGGUGUGAGGAGGCUGCCUUCUCUUCGGGGAAUCCUGAAAUCGGGAGAGUGUGGCUGGCUCAGGAAUGAGCUUGGCCAAAGCGUGGUAUUUCCCGAGAAAUGCAGUGACUCCAUGGCGUUCAGAAAGGCAGAUGAGGGAUACGGGACUUGUGGGGCUGGAGGAACAGACCUGGGAUUGAGGUCGCUUGCCUGGGCUGGGUGGCCCAUGGGUCUGAUGCCUUCUUUUGCCCCUGGCAGGGGCCGGUGGAGAGGCUGAGGUGUCCCAGCUCCAGGGCACCUGCUCAGGGACACCUCCGGGUGCUGGGCCAGGUGCGGGAGCUUCUGGCAAAGCCUUGCUGUGGCACUGAGGGUCCUUGGCUCUGUCGAGUUCCAGCGGUGUGACUGUGGGUGUGUCAUUAACCUGCAUGGCCUCAGUCUCCUCCUUCGCGGAUGGAACUAAAAGUCAUUGCCUAGGAGGCUGUUGGUGGAUGAAAUUAAUUAAUUAACAACUUUGCCAAGCACCUAGGCCUCCUGCACGUCCUGUUCCAGUUUGCAAGUGUUAUUCUUAGCCAAGGACAAGAGAAAGCUGGGUCUCCUCCAAGGACACUUUGACAGGUGUGGGGAGCAUUCCAUGCUGAUGACAGCAAAGAUUCGCUCCAAAUGUUUUCCCCGUGGGAAGUGACUCCAACAAGCGUCUGUUGUUUGUGGAUGUACGCUUCUAGCUUCUGACCCUGCCGCCCUCCCGGCAGUCCUGGGAUGCCGCAGUAGGGAUACAGUACCUGCCUGGUGUCAUCACCGUGUCACCCGAGGCCAGGCACAGUUCAGCCUACAGGAGUAGAGGAGACCUUGCUGCGCUGCGGACCGCGGGCGCCACCGUGUGUUCAUCCUGGAGCGGUGCGGAAAGAGGAUGCGGCCCAGACCCCACAGUGCAAAGAAAGAUCGUCACAGCCACUCACAGGGACCCACCGUCCAGCAGUCGCUCCACACACAUCCUUCCUCCUGCUCAGAGCCGCGGUACAAGGGAGUUAAUGCAUCAUUUUUCAGAAGAAGAGACUGAAGUUCAGAGAGGCUGCGACCUGCCACUCUGAGACAGCCUGCAGCUGCUACGUGACACCCUGCCCACACGGGACUAACCACAGGCGAAAAUCAGGUGGUGCUUGGGGGUGGGCAUGAGUCUGCAGACGAGGGUGACCUCGACUUCUCAGGGUCGUGUGGAAGGUGAAGGGGUGCAGGGGAGCCGUGAGGUGGCCCCUUCUGGUUUCCUGGCCCUGGGAGCCUCUCUGGGUCUGACAUUUUCCAAACUCCAGGCUUUUUCUCCCAUAUUCUCCCUGCAUGAUCUGUGCACACGUGUGUACACAUGCAUGUGUGCAAGUACCGUGUAGAUACACACGUGUAUAUCCUGUGUUCCUCCUCCACAAACUCUUCCAAAGCAAAUGCUGGCAACGCUGGCAUUCAACAUCCAGGUCUGUACUUUCAUUUAUUCCACAGAAUUACAUUUAAUAUUUUUUCCUUUGCUUUUGCUUUUUCUGGGGGGUCCUGGGG
Molecule: long non-coding RNA, 3233 nt
Organism: Fukomys damarensis (Damara mole-rat)
Lineage: Eukaryota; Metazoa; Chordata; Mammalia; Rodentia; Bathyergidae
Exons: 5
Source: RefSeq, a predicted model, not a curated record